Molecule: non-coding RNA, 424 nt
Organism: Paramuricea clavata
Lineage: Eukaryota; Metazoa; Cnidaria; Anthozoa; Malacalcyonacea; Plexauridae
Source: the annotation of a GenBank genome assembly
UUAAGCCCUACAUUCUCAAACAGCAAAAAGUUGAAUAACACUCCAUCUUCAUCGUCUAAAGAAGACGUCUGUGCACUGCUUGCGUAAGCAUAAAUAUUUCUUUAGAAAUUUUGGUGUUCUGUUGUCUUGUUUAGAAAUUUUUCAUUUAACAUGUUGAAGAGAACGAUCUUAGCAUUUAAAACAAAAAUGUUAUACUUCUUUUUAAGCCCUGCAUAUCAAGCAAACACCAAGAAGACAAAUAGCACUGCAUCCUCAACAUUUAUGUAAGCAUAAUCAUUUUAAUAUGUAGCAUGUUCAGUCACUUUGUUUGCGAAGAAAGUCUUAUGAAUCUUAAGCUGUUGUCCUUCUUUCUUAGCCCUCCAUUCCUGAACAACAAGAAGUCAAAAAAUACUGGACCUUCAGCAUCUCUGUUUUCAAUAAAUGA